GUGGUUGUUUCCAUAUCAUAAGGGAAAGCAUUGGAUGCUUAUAAUAAUUGAUUUUGAUCACCAAUUGUGCUAUUUCCUGGAUUCUCUUCACAAUUUUCCACCAGAUGAAAUCAAAUCUCUCAUUUCUUGUGUCUUUCAACAUUUACGCACAAAUAAUGCAAAAACUAAGGAAGGCGUGUGGAGAACAGUUAAGUGUCCUCGUCAACCAUUACAAUCAGUACAAUGUGGGUUCUAUGUUAUGAGGAUGAUGAAGGACUUCGUGACAAAUGGGUUUUCAAUGCGAUGGCUAA
This is a long non-coding RNA of Humulus lupulus (European hop), 290 nucleotides long. RefSeq lists it as uncharacterized. The record is from RefSeq and is a predicted model, not a curated record. The transcript is spliced from 3 exons. NCBI's taxonomy places the organism in Eukaryota, Viridiplantae, Streptophyta, Magnoliopsida, Rosales, Cannabaceae.